GCAGCACACUGCUGAGGGUCAUCCCGUCUCCCAUCCCCGAAACUACAGCAGAUCUGACUUCACCAAACAGGCUCGUUUCAGCCUCGCAUCCUGAUCCACUUUCCGGGUUAGUCUGUUUCACCGGCUGCCGUUUGCACAAAGCGCACAGAAAGAAGCGCAUCCGCUCGGUGCUGAUGUGAAGCGUUUGUAUUCCACCAAUAAAGCGAAACAGCAGUUUGGUUUGGAUGCACCGGACAACUACGCAACGAACUAAAACUGUUUGGAUAUUUGAAGAAGAACGAGUCGCUUUGAGGAGUCGAUUCGGUCCGGAGCGCAGGAACGAGAUCGCGGAGACGCGGAGCGCGUUGACAGCGGCUCGCGAUGAAGAUGUGUUCAGCAAAGACGCUCGAGCGCCGACUGGAAGCCGGUAGCCCCGCCCUCCACUGAGCUCAGAGAGAGGGAAGUCCAGGUGAACUGGUGAUGUCACACCGGCAGGUGC
Molecule: long non-coding RNA, 478 nt
Organism: Poeciliopsis prolifica (blackstripe livebearer)
Lineage: Eukaryota; Metazoa; Chordata; Actinopteri; Cyprinodontiformes; Poeciliidae
Exons: 3
Source: RefSeq, a predicted model, not a curated record